RNAcentral lists this long non-coding RNA (397 nucleotides) under Androctonus crassicauda. Lineage: Eukaryota; Metazoa; Arthropoda; Arachnida; Scorpiones; Buthidae. The record is from RNAcentral.
GUCGACAGUUGCGUCACGGUCGUUACACUUAGCGAGGGUUGCUGUUCUGAGCACUAGUUUUCUAUCGAAUCGAUGCAUUGGUGUCGAUGCUGACCAUCGAUAUCCGGUGCUGUUCUGUCUACUGGGGUGAAGUGGUGGUUGGGGCUUUUCGAGCGAUAGGUUUAAUGUGGCGUCUCGCUGCUACCGAAUGUUGCUCCUUAUUGAAGCAGCGGAGGGGGAAGCAUACGGCAAUGUAUGCCGUGAAUCUCAAUUCAAUAUGAGAGAUGAUGCUUUUGAUUUAUCAGAUAAUCAAUUUAUAGAGCUAUAUAGACUUCCAAGGGAUUGGUUUGCGAUUUAUGUGGGGAUUUGUGAACUUGCUUGGAACCACGCUGCUUUCGAGGGAGUGUUUUGUCUGUGG